CAGCCGCCGUGCCGUCUGCUCGUCCCCCUCCCCCUCUUCCUCCUCCUCCUCCUCCUCGUCCUCCGCUGCCUCUUCAGCCGCCGCCACCGCCGGCUCCCCGCCGCCGGCAGGGCCCGCGCUCGGAUCCGUAGGGAAGGAAAAACUCCGGGAAGAAAGUUUUGGGAACUUUGGGAGCGCCUGCGCGGGGCGGUGCCCGCCCUUAACCCUUAGCUCCCCGAGGCCCGUGCGGCGGAACCAGCACUCCCGGGAGGCCUGAACAGAAAGCCGGACCCCUUCCCCCUUCGGACGCAGCCUGGAAUGGCGGGUGGGCAUAGGUACCAGACCUGCACUGAGGAGACCAAGAGGCUUUUUAUUGGGCGACAAUAAAUACUGGGGGUCA
Molecule: long non-coding RNA, 379 nt
Organism: Monodelphis domestica (gray short-tailed opossum)
Lineage: Eukaryota; Metazoa; Chordata; Mammalia; Didelphimorphia; Didelphidae
Source: RefSeq, a predicted model, not a curated record